UACGGGGGGAGCAAGCGUUUUUCGGAUUUACUGGGCGUAAAGGGCGCGUAGGCGGCGUAACAAGUCACUUGUGAAAUCUCCGGGCUUAACCCGGAGCGGCCAAGUGAUACUGUUGUGCUAGAGUGCGGAAGGGGCUACUGGAAUUCUCGGUGUAGCGGUGAAAUGCGUAGAUAUCGGGAAGAACACCCGUGGCGAAGGCGGUUCUCUGGGACGGUACUGACGCUGAGACGCGAAAGCGUGGGGAGCGAACAGG
Molecule: ribosomal RNA, 253 nt
Filed under: uncultured bacterium
Lineage: Bacteria
Description: partial 16S ribosomal RNA
Rfam family: Bacterial small subunit ribosomal RNA
Source: RNAcentral